UGGGGAAUAUUGCACAAUGGGCGAAAGCCUGAUGCAGCGACGCCGCGUGAGGGAUGACGGCCUUCGGGUUGUAAACCUCUUUCAGUAGGGACGAAGCGCAAGUGACGGUACCUGCAGAAGAAGCACCGGCUAACUACGUGCCAGCAGCCGCGGUAAUACGUAGGGUGCGAGCGUUGUCCGGAAUUACUGGGCGUAAAGAGCUCGUAGGCGGUUUGUCAAGUCGUCUGUGAAAUCCUAGGGCUUAACCCUGGACGUGCAGGCGAUACGGGCUGACUUGAGUACUACAGGGGAGACUGGAAUUUCUGGUGUAGCGGUGGAAUGCACAGAUAUCAGGAAGAACACCGAUGGCGAAGGCAGGUCUCUGGGUAGUAACUGACGCUGAGGAGCGAAAGCAUGGGUAGCGAACAGG
Molecule: ribosomal RNA, 409 nt
Filed under: bacterium
Lineage: Bacteria
Description: partial 16S ribosomal RNA
Rfam family: Bacterial small subunit ribosomal RNA
Source: RNAcentral